AAGAGAGAUAUAAGAACUGCUAACUCUUAAGCCCGUAACUAAACUUACGGCUCUCUUA
Molecule: transfer RNA, 58 nt
Filed under: Macroscelides proboscideus (short-eared elephant shrew)
Lineage: Eukaryota; Metazoa; Chordata; Mammalia; Macroscelidea; Macroscelididae
Description: transfer RNA-Ser (AGY)
Source: RNAcentral